RNAcentral lists this ribosomal RNA (200 nucleotides) under uncultured bacterium. RNAcentral's name for it is "partial 16S ribosomal RNA". It matches the Rfam family "Bacterial small subunit ribosomal RNA", at positions 524 to 723 of the family's 1533-position model. The record is from RNAcentral.
UACGGAAGGUGCAAGCAUUGUUCGGAUUGACUGGGCGUAAAGAGCACGUAGGUGGGUUUAUAUGUCGGAUGUGAAAUCCCUGGGCUUAACCUGGGAACUGCAUCCGAAACUGUAGAUCUUGAAUGUUUGAGAGGCUGGCGGAAUUCCAGGUGUAGGAGUGAAAUCCGUAGAUAUCUGGAGGAACACCGGAGGCGAAGGCG